Molecule: long non-coding RNA, 3265 nt
Organism: Oncorhynchus keta (chum salmon)
Lineage: Eukaryota; Metazoa; Chordata; Actinopteri; Salmoniformes; Salmonidae
Exons: 3
Source: RefSeq, a predicted model, not a curated record
ACACUCUGACACAUAUACACAGCAAGCAUGAAACCGUUGACAUGACAAUGUUUUCUAAAGUUAUUGUGAUCAUCAUCUCUCUCUCUCCCUCUCCCUCUCACACACAUGGAGAGAGAGAACACACACAUACACAUGUACUGUCAAUAACUAAACAGAUAUACAAAUGCCAAAACGUUAGCUACAACAGGUACAAAGUUACCAGGUCCAUGGAUGAUUAACGUUAGCUAGCUAGCUAGCUACAACAGGUACAAAGCCAAAGUUACCAGGUCCAUGGAUGAUUAACGUUAGCUAGCUAGCUACAACAGGUACAAAGUUACCAGGUCCAUGGAUGAUUAAUGUUAGCUAGCUAGCUACAACAGGUACAAAGUCUAACUUACCAGGUCCAUGGAUUAUUAACGUUAGCUAGCUAGCUACAACAGGUACAAAGUUACCAGGUCCAUGGAUGAUUAAUGUUAGCUAGCUAGCUACAACAGGUACAAAGUCUAACUUACCAGGUCCAUGGAUUAUUAACGUUAGCUAGCUAGCUACAACAGGUACAAAGUUACCAGGUCCAUGGAUGAUUAAUGUUAGCUAGCUAGCUACAACAGGUACAAAGUCAAACUUACCAGGUCCAUGGAUUAUUAACGUUAGCUAGCUAGCAAAACUUUCCUUGACAUUCUUCUCCCCAACAAACCGCCGCUUUACUUCGGAAAUACUGAACACAUUUACGUUAAUUACUUAAAAGCUUUAAGGGGAAAUAUAAAGUGUCACAUUCUCAGGGUUAAAUUCAGGUGCAAUAAUUUCUUACUCGUUAUUGAUGUAAAUAAAUGGAAUAAAAGAAGGGUUUUGUAAACCCUGGUGGAUUGUAGUAGGAUAUUGAAAUAAAAGACAGGCCUACGUGUGAUUUGUUAAAUUCUGUAAACAAAUGUAAUUAGUCAUAACAGAACAUCAAAAUUGCAUUCCGCGGAACAAAAGAAAAUGUGUAACACAAACAGUGCAGUUGACAUCAACAAAAUAUUAUCAUUAGACGCCAAUACACACAGCAAGCUACCAGAUAUCACAUGACUGUAAGUCGCUUUGGAUAAAAGCGUCUGCUAAAUGGCAUAUAUUAUAUUAUUAUUAUAUCAUUAAUUUAAAAAAAACAUUAUUUCAUUGUACUGCAGUUUUAUUGCAUUUUAACGGCAGUGCAUUCUUGUAAGGGUAUCCUGUAAUAUUGUGCAUGUUCAUGCAUGUUCAUCUUACAUGCUGGUAGCCUAUAAUAAAUGUUAUGGAAGUGACUGUGCACUUUUCAAUUGGGUGGACUGCAAGUACAAAAAAACACUCCCAUAGCCUGUAGUAAAAACAAACGCAUUUAUAGCAUUGGAGAUUCUCUAAAUUAGGGACCAUCUCUCAUAGCUACAGUACAUGACCCCAGAUAGUGUCACAAAUAUGACAUUUUAAUGACCUAGCAAAUUCGAUGACUUGGAGGUGAAAUAUCACAACACUUUGUAUAUUAAAUUGGUAUUUCAUCACCUGCCAAAUAAAAUUCCUCAAAUGGCCCUACUCCUGAAAAAGUUAAUCGGGCUGGAUAAGCUGAAGUGGAAUCGGCCCAAGUACCAUUAGCCGGAGCCCAGAGUAAUAUGAUUCAUCUCAAACGGAAUAGGCCCGAGCCCAGCGUGUUGACUGGGUACAGUAUGGCCCAAGACUCUAACCGGCUUUGGUGUGCUCUGCCAGCUGUUGUAUGCCAAGUGUGCUAAGCUGAAUCAUGCAAACCCUGCUGAACAUUACUCAAAUUUUAAUAACUGUAAUUGUUCUAGUGUCUUAUACAGUGCAUUCAGAAAGUAUUCAGACUCCUUGACUUUCUCCACAUUUGUUUUUUUCUUCAUCAAUCUACACACAAUACCCCAUAAAACUUUUUUUUUUUUUAUAAAAAAUGUAAAACAGAAAUAUCACAUUUACAUAAGUAUUCAGACAAUUGACUCAGUACCUUGUUGAAGCACCUUUGGCAGCGAUUACAGCCUCGAGUCUUCUUGUGUAUGAAGCUACAAGCUUGGCACACCUGUAUUUGGGGAGUUUCUCCCAUUCUUCCCUGCAGAUCCUCUCAAGCUGUGUCGGGUUGGAUGGGGAGCGUCACUGCACAGCUAUUGUCAGGUCUCUCCAGAAAUGUUAGAUAGGGUUCAAGUCUGGGUUCUGGCUGGGCCACUCAAGGACACGCCGUGGAGCAGGUUUUCAUCAAGGAUCUCUGUACUUUGCUCUGUUCAUCUUUCCCUCGAUCCUGAGUAGUCCCACAGUCCCUGCCCAUGAAAAAUAUCUCCACAGCAUGAUGCUGCCACCACCAUGCUUCACAGUAGUGAUGGUGCCAGGUUUCCUCCAGACGUGACGCUUGGCAUUCAGGCCAAAGAGUUUAAUCUUAGUUUCAUCAGACCACAGAAUUUUGUUUUGGCAUACUCCCAGCAGGCUGUCAUGUGCUUUUUUGCUUCCUUCUGGCCACUCUAACAUAAAGGCCUGAUUGGUGGAGAGCUGCAGAGAUGGUUGACCUUCUGGAAGGUUCUCCCAUCUCCCCAAAGGAACUCUGGAGCUCUGUCAGAGUGACCAUCGGGUUCUUGGUCAUCUCCCUGACCAAGGCACUUCUCCCCCGAUUGCUCAGUUUGGCCUGGCGGCCAGCUCUAGGAAAAGUCUUGGUGGUUCCAAACUUUUUCCAUUUAAUAAUAAUGGAGUCCACUGUGGUCUUGGAGACCUUCAAAGUUGCAGAAAUGUUUUUGUACCCUUCCCCAGAUCUGUGCCUUGACACAAUCCUGUCUUGGAAUUCUACGUACAAUUACUUCGACCUCAUGGCUUGGUUUUUGCUAUGACAUGUCAACUGUGGGACCUUAUAUAUACAGGUGUGUACCUUUCCAAAUCCUUUCCAACCAAUUGAAUUUAACACAGAUGGAUUCCAAUCAAGAUCUCAAGGAUGAUCAAUGGAAACAGAAUGCACCCAAGCUCAAUUUCGAGUCUCAUAGCAAAGGGUACAUUUGCCCCAAAAAAUAAAAACCGGUUUUUGCUUUGUCAUUAUGGGGUAUUGUGUGUAGAUUGAUGAGGCAAAACAUGUAUUUAAUCCAUUUUAGAAUAAGGCUGUAACGUAAUAAAAUGUAGAAAAGGUCAAGCGGUCUGAAUACUUUCCGAAUGCACUGUAUGCAAUGGGUGCAUGGAUCACAAACACAAUAAGACUGGUGUCUUAUUAAUUGAGUAGCAUUUAGAUAACUGGUCAGAAGCCUCGAAGAGGCUUCUAAACAGCUUCUACCCCCAAGCCAUAAGGCUCCUGAAC